Vicia villosa (hairy vetch) is the source of this 1216-nucleotide long non-coding RNA. RefSeq lists it as uncharacterized. NCBI's taxonomy places the organism in Eukaryota, Viridiplantae, Streptophyta, Magnoliopsida, Fabales, Fabaceae. The record is from RefSeq and is a predicted model, not a curated record. The transcript has 5 exons.
GUGAAACGCUCGAGGUAUCGUAUCUCAAUACAAAUUCAAAACUCAAAACGCUUUCACUCCAACUUCAAUUUCAUCAUGUUCGGAAACAACACAUGCAGCGGCGGCGCUCCAUUUUCUCUCUCAGUCGUGUUCUCUGCCGUCUCAACCUCGCGUCCAUUACAAACCCGACGGCCGAAGAACUCAUACGAGUUCUCUUCUCCGACGAACUCUCGGUCUCAAUAUCUUCUUCUCCUCUUUUCGAUUUCUAAUUCGUUGUUUGUUGGUUUGAUGAUGAUGGUGAUACGGAAUCGGUGAUUUGUGUUGUUGUAUUGUGUGUUUCUGUCCAAGCUUGAUUCGGUGAAAGUGCAAUGAUGAUGAUGGGUAAUGUUUGUUUUAGGGUUAGAUCUGUGUAUUUGUUCAUCUCCAUGGUUGUUUUCAUAAAUCUAAUUAGUUUAUUGUUAUGUUUGAGGGUUUAUUUCUGAUUUUUAUUCUUUUGUUACUUAUGGUUAAUGUUUGUUUCAGGUUUAGAUCUGUGUAUUUGUUCAUCUCCACGACUGUUUUUAUAAAUCAAAUUAUUUCAUCCCUUUUCUCUGCUAUAUAUUGAAUCAAAUUAAGGCUACAUCAUAUAGGAUUUCAUCUCAGUAGCCAGAAAGGAUUUAGACUUGAUCGGGUUUUACCGCUGACUUUUGAAUCUAACAGGAGGAUGAAGUGAAAGAAAGAGCAAAAAGAGAUGCAGCUGCUAGCAAAUGAAGGGAAUACUCAUGGAAAGGAUUGUGUAUGAAGUGAUGGCUUCUUAUUGUAUUGGAAGAGAAUUUUAAUUGUGACAUGGAUAAGCAGUGACUUGGUUCUGAAAUUGCAUAUGUGCUAUGACUGUUUUGGGUUGUAUAAUUAUGCAGUAUCGAAGAUACACUAUUGAGGAAAUAGAAGAAGCGACAAAAUACUUUUCCAACUCACUGAAGUUGGUGAAGUAUGUUAUGGACCAGUCUAUAGGGCUGAAUUAGUUCUCACUGCAUUUGCAAUAAAAGUGUUGCAACCCUGUGCAGCUCAAGGAUGGUUGCAAUUUCAACCAAGAUUGAAGUUGUGAUAAGCAUAAGGCAUCCAAACAUGGUUCUUCUAUUUGAAACGUGUCCGGGGUUCGGUUGCUUACCGUAUGAGCACAUGAGUAAUGGAAUGUUGACAUGCUAUCUAGAUUUAGACAUUAGCAUAUAGGGCAAUAUAAAUUCUUUUUCAGGGUUUU